GACGAACGCUGGCGGCGUGCUUAACACAUGCAAGUCGAGCGGUAAGGCCCUUUCGGGGGUACACGAGCGGCGAACGGGUGAGUAACACGUGGGUGACCUGCCCUCAGCUCUGGGACUAAGCCUGGGAAACUGGGUCUAAUACUGGAUAUGACUCCACGGUGCAUGUCGUGGGGUGGAAAGCCUUGUGCGGCUGAGGAUGGGCCCGCGGCCUAUCAGCUUGUUGGUGGGGUGANGGCCUACCAAGGCGACGACGGGUAGCCGGCCUGAGAGGGCGACCGGCCACACUGGGACUGAGACACGGGCCCAGACUCCUACGGGAGGCAGCAGUGGGGAAUCUUGCGCAAUGGGCGAAAGCCUGACGCAGCGACGCCGCGU
Molecule: ribosomal RNA, 375 nt
Filed under: uncultured bacterium
Lineage: Bacteria
Description: bacterial SSU rRNA
Rfam family: Bacterial small subunit ribosomal RNA
Source: RNAcentral